AGAGUUUGAUCAUGGCUCAGGACGAACGCUGGCGGCGUGCUUAACACAUGCAAGUCGAGCGAGGAACUUCGGUUCCUAGCGGCGGACGGGUGAGUAACACGUGGGUAACCUGCCUCAAAGAGGGGGAUAGCCUCCCGAAAGGGAGAUUAAUACCGCAUAAUAUUACAGCUUCGCAUGAAGCAGUAAUUAAAGGAGUAAUCCGCUUUGAGAUGGACCCGCGGCGCAUUAGCUAGUUGGAGAGGUAACGGCUCACCAAGGCAACGAUGCGUAGCCGACCUGAGAGGGUGAUCGGCCACAUUGGAACUGAGACACGGUCCAGACUCCUACGGGAGGCAGCAGUGGGGAAUAUUGCACAAUGGGCGAAAGCCUGAUGCAGCAACGCCGCGUGAGUGAAGAAGGUCUUCGGAUUGUAAAGCUCUGUCUUUUGGGACGAAAAAUGACGGUACCAAAGGAGGAAGCCACGGCUAACUACGUGCCAGCAGCCGCGGUAAUACGUAGGUGGCAAGCGUUGUCCGGAAUUACUGGGCGUAAAGGAUGUGUAGGCGGAUAUUUAAGUGAGAUGUGAAAUCCCCGGGCUUAACUUGGGGGCUGCAUUUCAAACUGGGUAUCUAGAGUGCAGGAGAGGAAAGCGGAAUUCCUAGUGUAGCGGUGAAAUGCGUAGAGAUUAGGAAGAACAUCAGUGGCGAAGGCGGCUUUCUGGACUGUAACUGACGCUGAGGCAUGAAAGCGUGGGGAGCAAACAGGAUUAGAUACCCUGGUAGUCCACGCCGUAAACGAUGAGUACUAGGUGUAGGAGGUAUCGACUCCUUCUGUGCCGCAGUUAACACAAUAAGUACUCCGCCUGGGAAGUACGGUCGCAAGAUUAAAACUCAAAUGAAUUGACGG
This 885-nucleotide ribosomal RNA is filed under the name uncultured bacterium. RNAcentral describes it as "bacterial SSU rRNA". It matches the Rfam family "Bacterial small subunit ribosomal RNA", at positions 8 to 916 of the family's 1533-position model. The record is from RNAcentral.